UUUUGUGCUGUGAUGAUCUAUGAUAAUCCCAGCUCUAUGAGACCUUUUGUGGUCAGGGAGUAGAAUGUUAUCCAUACAAAUCUGAGCCCAGAA
Malus domestica (apple) is the source of this 93-nucleotide small nucleolar RNA. NCBI's taxonomy places the organism in Eukaryota, Viridiplantae, Streptophyta, Magnoliopsida, Rosales, Rosaceae. The record is from RefSeq and is a predicted model, not a curated record.